GACGAACGCUGGCGGCGUGCUUAACACAUGCAAGUCGAACGGAAAGGCCCUGCUUUUGUGGGGUGCUCGAGUGGCGAACGGGUGAGUAACACGUGAGUAACCUGCCCUUGACUUUGGGAUAACUUCAGGAAACUGGGGCUAAUACCGGAUAGGAGCUCCUGCUGCAUGGUGGGGGUUGGAAAGUUUCGGCGGUUGGGGAUGGACUCGCGGCUUAUCAGCUUGUUGGUGGGGUCUGGCUUACCAAGGCUUUGACGGGUAGCCGGCCUGAGAGGGUGACCGGCCACAUUGGGACUGAGAUACGGCCCAGACUCCUACGGGAGGCAGCAGUGGGGAAUAUUGCACAAUGGGCGGAAGCCUGAUGCAGCAACGCCGCGUGCGGGAUGACGGCCUUCGGGUUGUAAACCGCUUUCGCCUGUGACGAAGCGUGAGUGACGGUAAUGGGUAAAGAAGCACCGGCUAACUACGUG
Molecule: ribosomal RNA, 467 nt
Filed under: uncultured bacterium
Lineage: Bacteria
Description: partial 16S ribosomal RNA
Rfam family: Bacterial small subunit ribosomal RNA
Source: RNAcentral